AAAUAUUUUAUGCUUUUGAAUUAGAGAACAAACAAUGACAGAGCAGGAGAAGAAAUCACCUGAGGCAGACGAUGAUUGUAAUUGCAAAUCCCAAUACACUCAAGCUCCCAAAAUUUACUCACUCAAAAAACUAUCUCAUCAUCCUUUGCCAGUCCACACCAGUUCCCAGCGAACAAACUAAAUUCUGACAUUUGCCUAAAUAGGCUGCUAAGUAUCCUCAGCCUGAUUACAUGGAUAACUAAAACAACAUUACUAAAGUUUAAUCUUAAGAGUUUCAAAACAGUGGAAAAGAUGCCGUAGUUGAUUAAAAAAAAAAAAAAACCCGAGUUAUCCAUGGCGACAGGUCCAGGUUCAGGCUGAUGAAAAGAACUGCAGCUUCUGACAAUAGCAUGGGCAGCCAUCAAAACCUCAAAUUUCCCAGCAGCAGCUUAAUGCAAUCAUACUUACGAAUGUCACUUGAUAGCAAAUAAC
RNAcentral lists this long non-coding RNA (471 nucleotides) under Citrus x clementina. RNAcentral describes it as "Citrus clementina (C. clementina) long non-coding RNA (CCLE_LNC005989)". Lineage: Eukaryota; Viridiplantae; Streptophyta; Magnoliopsida; Sapindales; Rutaceae. The record is from RNAcentral.